This 1528-nucleotide ribosomal RNA is filed under the name Klebsiella pneumoniae BWH 36. RNAcentral's name for it is "bacterial SSU rRNA". It matches the Rfam family "Bacterial small subunit ribosomal RNA". The record is from RNAcentral. Lineage: Bacteria; Pseudomonadati; Pseudomonadota; Gammaproteobacteria; Enterobacterales; Enterobacteriaceae.
AGAGUUUGAUCAUGGCUCAGAUUGAACGCUGGCGGCAGGCCUAACACAUGCAAGUCGAGCGGUAGCACAGAGAGCUUGCUCUCGGGUGACGAGCGGCGGACGGGUGAGUAAUGUCUGGGAAACUGCCUGAUGGAGGGGGAUAACUACUGGAAACGGUAGCUAAUACCGCAUAAUGUCGCAAGACCAAAGUGGGGGACCUUCGGGCCUCAUGCCAUCAGAUGUGCCCAGAUGGGAUUAGCUAGUAGGUGGGGUAACGGCUCACCUAGGCGACGAUCCCUAGCUGGUCUGAGAGGAUGACCAGCCACACUGGAACUGAGACACGGUCCAGACUCCUACGGGAGGCAGCAGUGGGGAAUAUUGCACAAUGGGCGCAAGCCUGAUGCAGCCAUGCCGCGUGUGUGAAGAAGGCCUUCGGGUUGUAAAGCACUUUCAGCGGGGAGGAAGGCGAUAAGGUUAAUAACCUCAGCGAUUGACGUUACCCGCAGAAGAAGCACCGGCUAACUCCGUGCCAGCAGCCGCGGUAAUACGGAGGGUGCAAGCGUUAAUCGGAAUUACUGGGCGUAAAGCGCACGCAGGCGGUCUGUCAAGUCGGAUGUGAAAUCCCCGGGCUCAACCUGGGAACUGCAUUCGAAACUGGCAGGCUAGAGUCUUGUAGAGGGGGGUAGAAUUCCAGGUGUAGCGGUGAAAUGCGUAGAGAUCUGGAGGAAUACCGGUGGCGAAGGCGGCCCCCUGGACAAAGACUGACGCUCAGGUGCGAAAGCGUGGGGAGCAAACAGGAUUAGAUACCCUGGUAGUCCACGCCGUAAACGAUGUCGAUUUGGAGGUUGUGCCCUUGAGGCGUGGCUUCCGGAGCUAACGCGUUAAAUCGACCGCCUGGGGAGUACGGCCGCAAGGUUAAAACUCAAAUGAAUUGACGGGGGCCCGCACAAGCGGUGGAGCAUGUGGUUUAAUUCGAUGCAACGCGAAGAACCUUACCUGGUCUUGACAUCCACAGAACUUUCCAGAGAUGGAUUGGUGCCUUCGGGAACUGUGAGACAGGUGCUGCAUGGCUGUCGUCAGCUCGUGUUGUGAAAUGUUGGGUUAAGUCCCGCAACGAGCGCAACCCUUAUCCUUUGUUGCCAGCGGUCCGGCCGGGAACUCAAAGGAGACUGCCAGUGAUAAACUGGAGGAAGGUGGGGAUGACGUCAAGUCAUCAUGGCCCUUACGACCAGGGCUACACACGUGCUACAAUGGCAUAUACAAAGAGAAGCGACCUCGCGAGAGCAAGCGGACCUCAUAAAGUAUGUCGUAGUCCGGAUUGGAGUCUGCAACUCGACUCCAUGAAGUCGGAAUCGCUAGUAAUCGUAGAUCAGAAUGCUACGGUGAAUACGUUCCCGGGCCUUGUACACACCGCCCGUCACACCAUGGGAGUGGGUUGCAAAAGAAGUAGGUAGCUUAACCUUCGGGAGGGCGCUUACCACUUUGUGAUUCAUGACUGGGGUGAAGUCGUAACAAGGUAACCGUAGGGGAACCUGCGGUUGGAUCACCU